AGAGUUUGAUCAUGGCUCAGAACAAACGCUGGCGGCGUGCCUAACACAUGCAAGUCGUACGAGAAAGUCCGCUUCGGUGGAUGAGUAAAGUGGCGCACGGGUGAGUAACGCGUGGAUAAUCUACCCUUUAGUCUGGAAUAACUUAUCGAAAGGUGAACUAAUACCGGAUAAUAUCCCGAUUUCUUCGGCGAUCGGGAUCAAAGAAGGCCUCUGCUUGCAAGCUUUCACUGAAGGAUGAGUCCGCGUACCAUUAGCUAGUUGGCAGGGUAAUGGCCUACCAAGGUUAUGAUGGUUAGCUGGUCUGAGAGGAUGAUCAGCCACACUGGAACUGAAACACGGUCCAGACUCCUACGGGAGGCAGCAGUGAGGAAUAUUGCGCAAUGGGGGCAACCCUGACGCAGCAACGCCGCGUGAGUGAGGAAGGUUUUCGGAUUGUAAAGCUCUGUCGAGCGGAAAGAAGUGCAUGGUGGUUAAUAUCCAUCAUGCUUGACGGUACCGCUAAAGGAAGCACCGGCUAACUCCGUGCCAGCAGCCGCGGUAAUACGGGGGGUGCAAGCGUUGUUCGGAAUCAUUGGGCGUAAAGCGCGUGUAGGCGGCUGGACAAGUCAGAUGUGAAAGCCCUGGGCUUAACCCAGGAAGUGCAUUUGAAACUGUUCAGCUAGAGUAAGGGAGAGGAAAGUGGAAUUCCUGGUGUAGAGGUGAAAUUCGUAGAUAUCAGGAGGAACACCGGUGGCGAAGGCGACUUUCUGGCCCUAUACUGACGCUGAGACGCGAAAGCGUGGGUAGCAAACAGGAUUAGAUACCCUGGUAGUCCACGCUGUAAACGAUGUUCACUAGUGUCGGGGGUAUUGACCCUUCCAGUGCCGCAGCUAACGCAUUAAGUGAACCGCCUGGGGAGUACGGUCGCAAGAUUAAACUCAAAUGAAUUGACGG
RNAcentral lists this ribosomal RNA (933 nucleotides) under methanogenic prokaryote enrichment culture B19_76. Its description in RNAcentral is "bacterial SSU rRNA". It matches the Rfam family "Bacterial small subunit ribosomal RNA", at positions 8 to 916 of the family's 1533-position model. The record is from RNAcentral.